UACGUAGGGCGCAAGCGUUGUCCGGAAUUAUUGGGCGUAAAGAGCUCGUAGGCGGCUUGUCGCGUCGGAUGUGAAAGCCCGGGGCUUAACCCCGGGUCUGCAUUCGAUACUGGGCGGCUAGAGUCUGGUAGGGGGAUCUGGAAUUCCUGGUGUAGCGGUGGAAUGCGCAGAUAUCAGGAGGAACACCGGUGGCGAAGGCGGGAUCCUGGGCCAGUACUGACGCUGAGGAGCGAAAGCGUGGGGAGCAAACAGG
This 253-nucleotide ribosomal RNA is filed under the name uncultured bacterium. RNAcentral describes it as "partial 16S ribosomal RNA". It matches the Rfam family "Bacterial small subunit ribosomal RNA", at positions 524 to 776 of the family's 1533-position model. The record is from RNAcentral.